AUCCCAUGGUGUGGACACUUUCGUAGCAUAUUUUUGAACCAAUUCCAGGUUUCAUCGAAAUUUUCAGAGUCGCCUUGGCAAAAAAUAGAGAUGUUGUGCUUGAGCUU
This 107-nucleotide small nucleolar RNA is filed under the name Olea europaea subsp. europaea. RNAcentral's name for it is "Plant small nucleolar RNA R71". It matches the Rfam family "Plant small nucleolar RNA R71". Rfam says of the family: R71 is a member of the C/D box family of snoRNAs containing the C (UGAUGA) and D (CUGA) box motifs. Multiple nearly identical copies of this snoRNA have been identified in Arabidopsis, and it is thought to function as a 2'-O-ribose methylation guide for 18S ribosomal RNA. The record is from Rfam by way of RNAcentral. Lineage: Eukaryota; Viridiplantae; Streptophyta; Magnoliopsida; Lamiales; Oleaceae.